AUUGAACGCUGGCGGAAUGCUUUACACAUGCAAGUCGAACGGUAGAGGGGGCAACCCCUCGAGAGUGGCGAACGGGUGAGUAAUAUAUCGGAACGUGCCCAGUCGUGGGGGAUAACGUAGCGAAAGUUACGCUAAUACCGCAUACGAUCUAAGGAUGAAAGCGGGGGAUCGCAAAACCUCGCGCGAUUGGAGCGGCCGAUAUCAGAUUAGGUAGGUGGUGGGGUAAAGGCUCACCAAGCCAACGAUCUGUAGCUGGUCUGAGAGGACGACCAGCCACACUGGAACUGAGACACGGUCCAGACUCCUACGGGAGGCAGCAGUGGGGAAUUUUGGACAAUGGACGCAAGUCUGAUCCAGCCAUUCCGCGUGCAGGAUGAAGGCCCUCGGGUUGUAAACUGCUUUUGUACGGAACGAAAAGGUCUCUCUUAAUACGGGGGGCUCAUGACGGUACCGUAAGAAUAAGCACCGGCUAACUACGUGCCAGCCGCCGCGGUAA
RNAcentral lists this ribosomal RNA (496 nucleotides) under uncultured bacterium. RNAcentral's name for it is "partial 16S ribosomal RNA". It matches the Rfam family "Bacterial small subunit ribosomal RNA", at positions 30 to 523 of the family's 1533-position model. The record is from RNAcentral.